Passer domesticus (house sparrow) is the source of this 3388-nucleotide long non-coding RNA. RefSeq lists it as uncharacterized. The record is from RefSeq and is a predicted model, not a curated record. Lineage: Eukaryota; Metazoa; Chordata; Aves; Passeriformes; Passeridae. The transcript has 4 exons.
AAAAGGAGGAAAACAGAAGGACAGCUGUGACAGUAAUACAUGAGCAUUCAAAACAGGCAGGGCCUUCUGAGAGUGUCUGUCAUGGCUCUGCUCAUUGUCCCCAGCCCUAAGAAUGGAAGGGCACAUCAGAAAUCCCAAUGAGGAGGCUCUGCAGAGGAAGAGAGUCUGUUCUGCCCAGACUGAUGGGGCAACAGGAUUAUUUGGAGACCAGGUUCAAAAGAUGAAACUGUCUGACAAAAUGCUUCCACCACAUCCUUGGAGUUUGGGGCAGCCAGUGUGCAGCCUCAAACUGUGCUGAUAAACAAUGAAAUAAAGCUAAGGAGCUAAGUUGAUGGUUGAAGUCAAGAUGUGAAUUUCAAUGCAACUCAGUGGUUUUGAGUCACGUGUGAGGAGACCCAAACAGUGAAAACUCUGGUGAAGAGAUGAGAGAAUUUUCCAGAACUCCAGUUCUCAUUUUGUGAGGGACCUGUACAGCCCUUUGGACAUAAGAUACUGCCUGAGACUGGGAUUGGAUCCAGCCACACCCAGGAAUUAUGAAUUCUGAGCAGGAAUUCUGAAAGCCAAGAGGUCCUCUCUGAUCUAUCAUGUCUGUGAUUCUUCAUCACUGAUGAACCAAGCCUGUGGAUGUCAACAGAUGCUCAGUUUAGACUCCAACCUGAAUUGCACAAGGAAGACUCUCCAGGUUAAAUGCCAAGCUGUGACGCUCCACCAUUAUGCAAAAUCCACUGCUCAGAGAUUUACCUGGUCUUUGCUCCCUCAAUUGAAAUGUCCUGACAUAAAUAAUUCCAGCAUAAGCCUCGAAGAGAGCUGGGAAAUGACAACCUGCACCAGUUGCUGGAGAGGGGGAUGAAUAAUGGAGUGUACACGUAGCCACGGGCGAGGAUUUGUCACCAGGGCUCUGCAAGCACGGCCACGUCUCACUUCACUGGGACAUUUCUAGGGACAAGCAACACCUCCAAGAGCCUUUUGUCCACGGUGAAAUGUCACUGCGCCUUUCCCAAAGCAGCAAGGUGUCAUUCUGAAUACAAAACUGGAAUCUCUGACUUGCUACAACUGGAGUCUGACAAUUGUGAUGCUGGAAAAAAGCUUUCAUUCUUAAAAAGUGCAUCUGAAACCUAAAUACAGUAACUGCAAACACUAAAAAAUUAUAUUCUGACAAUUUCUACUGAUCCUGCUUUUUCCAUUUCAUUCAGGGCUGGAUCAAUUCAUGUCAUCUCAUAAUUAUAUCAAUUGUAUUUUUUAUUUUAAGUUUCUUACUUCAGCUUUACUUUAAUCCAGUGCCUGAUUUCCCUCAUGGCAUCCCAGCUUGCUGAUUUUAACCCAUCCUUAUACUCUUAUGUUUUCAAGAUACUUACUGUUAAAAGGGGAGUAGUGGGGGAGAGGUACUGCUCAAGGAAAGAAUUGUAUAAGUAAAUACUUUUGUAAUUUUUUUUAAAAUUUUAUUUUAAUUCUGCAUCUCCUUUUAAGAUAUUUAUUUUCCUGACAGUGCAAACAUCUUUGGCACAGGAUGUCAUAUCCUGGGAUCCCAGAUGCACGUGGUUGUUCCUCAGGCAUUCUCUAAGUCCCUUACUCCAUUUCCAAAGCAGUACUUGUCCUGGAGAAUAUGACUGAUCAAAGUUAGUGGUAGUUUAAAGCAUUAAAAUAUAAAAAAAUGUAUAAAAUAACCCAUUGACACCAAAAAACUGAUGAUCACUUUAGCAACAAGAACAAAAAUUACUCAGCUGUUCUUGAUUUAAUUAAAAUUCAGUGAAAACAUAUUUUUCUUCAAAUAAUUUACUUUUGUUUCAUCUAUUUGGUGAAAGAUAAUGGGCAGCCAUAGGAUAAAUAUAAGUUUAUUUAAAGGAAAAAUCUAAAAGACAUAUGUUUAGAUUGGGGAAAACACUAAAUAUUUACUGUAAUUUGUAAUUAUGGAAUUGGUGUAGCAAUGGCUGAGCUGAACCCUUCUCAUUUCUAAUAUUAGAAAGUUUCAUCAAACAUGGCUCACUUAAAAAUUUCAUUUAAUUUUGUACUGUCUGUUACUAUUGAGCUUUUUGUAGAGAAUACAUAAAACAUAAAAUAGAAACAGAAAAGACUGAAGAGCUUCUGUUCUUUGUUCUUAGCCAUUAUUUAAGAAAGUCUCUCUUAUUCUUUAAUAAAAUAACUCAAUAACAGCUAACAGCUCCAGGUUAUUGCCAUCUAAUUCUGAAAUGAUUUUACUGUAAAUGAUCUUAUAAGUACAAAUAAGAUUAAUGCUAUAAUUUUUUUUCUAUAAAUAUAGAGAUCUACAAUGUAGUUUUCACCACUUUACAUAUUAUUCAAAUAAGCAUUAUAAACUUUUAAGUACAUUUUUUUUCUACUGAUUCAGAGUGCUUCUCUUGGAAAAAUGUAUAAAUAUCUUAGGAAUUAUCAUCAGCUUUAUUAACUUUUCUGAGACCUGAAAUUUCUUCCUGUAAAUGUCAUCCAGAUAUUAAUCUGCGCAAACUGAUGAAUUAUUUGUGAUUGUUCCUGUAACCAAAGUGAGCCUUCCACCAAUAAUUAAAUAUUUUGAAGGUAUUUUCUCAGUGGCUGUGAAAAUGAAGAAAACUCCCUCUGCCUGGUUUAGAAUUAGGGAGACUUCCAGGGAAAAAAAGUGCCUGGAGUACAAGAAUAAUCCAUUAUAAAACUGGGAAUCCAUAGUUGCUAACACAAAUUCUCUUUCUUUAGUCAGCCAUUCUCUUUAAUAGACAAAAGCAGAGCAAAGAGUUUUAGGGAGCUAUAAAGAAUGAGAGAACAGAGAUAUUUCAUCUCUCAGGUCACCAUCCUGCAGCCUCCUGAAUCCAUCCCAUCCCACAGAUAAUGAACUCCCACAGGAGCACUUGGGCCAGGUCAGUCCCUUGUGCUGGACAUCAGACCUGCUAGUAAAGAAUUCUCUUUUUGUCCUGCAACUCCUGCCCAGCUGCUCCAGGUGGGAGCUCAGGUGAGACCCCACCUGCAGAGCUGCCCCAGCACAGGGAGGAGCUGGAGCUGCUGGAGAGAGCCCAGGGGAGGCACCAGCAUGGUCAGAGGGAUGGAGCAGCUCUGCUGGGAGGAAAGGCUGGCACAGCUGGGAUUGUUCACCUGGAGAGGAGAAGAUUUGGGGUGACCAAAUUGUGGCCUUGCAGUGCCUGAAGGAAACUACAGGAAACAUGGAGAGAGACUUAUAAGGGAUGGAGGGACAGGAUAAGGAGGAAUGGCCUCCCACUGCCAGAGGUCAGGGUUACAUGGGCUAUUGGGAAGGAAAAGUCUCAAGCUGCAUCGAGGGAAAUAUAGGUUGGAUAGUAGGAAGACGUUUUUUACAGGAAGAGUGAUAAAGUUCUGGAAUGGUCUGCCCGGGGAAGUGGUGGAGUCACCAUCCCUGGAUGUGGCACUGGGUGCCAGGGUCCAGUUGAGA